GGCCGCUGACGCGUCGCGCUUCCUCGUAUGCUCCGCGUGUUCAGGGUGGCUUGCUCUCUUUUUCCCUCGGCAGAGAAGAGGCGAUGGCGGUGAUGGCAUCUUUCGGCGCCCUGGCACUACUCCUGCUGUCCGGCCUCUCUUGCUGCUCAGCAGAGGCCUGCCUGGAGCCCCAGAUCACCCCUUCCUACUAUACCACCUCGGAUGCCGUCAUUUCCACAGAGACUGUCUUCAUUGUGGAGAUCUCCCUCACCUGCAAGAACAGGGUCCAGAACAUGGCUCUUUAUGCUGACGUUAGUGGAAAACAGUUUCCUGUCACCCGUGGCCAGGAUGUGGGCCGUUAUCAGGUAUCCUGGAGCCUGGAGCACAAGAGUGCCCAUGCAGGCACCUAUGAAGUCAGAUUCUUUGAUGAGGAGUCCUAUAGCCUUCUAAGAAAGGAGUACCUGUCUCCCCCAUUGCCAGCCCAGCCAGCACCUCUUGAUCCCAGCACCUCCCUUACAGGCUCAGAGAAAUAAUGAAGAUGUUUCCAUCAUCCCACCCCUGUUCACAGUCAGCGUGGACCAUCGGGGCACCUGGAAUGGUCCCUGGGUCUCCACAGAGGUGCUGGCUGCAGUAAUUGGCAUCGUGAUAUACUACCUGGCCUUCAGUGCAAAGAGCCACAUCCAGGCCUGAGGGCAGCACCCCAGCUCUCCUUUGCUUCUUUAAAUAAAGUCACCAUUUGCCACAAA
RNA transcript from Jaculus jaculus (lesser Egyptian jerboa), 725 nucleotides. It is a transcript of the gene named signal sequence receptor subunit 4, with no coding region annotated. The record is from RefSeq and is a predicted model, not a curated record. Lineage: Eukaryota; Metazoa; Chordata; Mammalia; Rodentia; Dipodidae. The transcript has 6 exons.